This 425-nucleotide ribosomal RNA is filed under the name uncultured bacterium. Its description in RNAcentral is "bacterial SSU rRNA". It matches the Rfam family "Bacterial small subunit ribosomal RNA", at positions 354 to 796 of the family's 1533-position model. The record is from RNAcentral.
GUGGGGGAUAUUGCACAAUGGAGGAAACUCUGAUGCAGCAACGCCGCGUGAGUGAUGAAGUAGUUCGCUACGUAAAGCUCUAUCAGUAGGGAAGAUAAUGACGGUACCUACACAAGAAGCUCCGGCUAAAUACGUGCCAGCAGCCGCGGUAAUACGUAUGGAGCAAGCGUUAUCCGGAUUUACUGGGUGUAAAGGGAGCGUAGACUGCAUGGCAAGUCAGAUGUGAAAGCCCGGGGCUUAACCUCGGAACUGCAUUUGAAACUGCCAAGCUAGAGUACAGGAGAGGUAAGUGGAAUUCCUAGUGUAGCGGUGAAAUGCGUAGAUAUUAGGAGGAACACCGGUGGCGAAGGCGGCUUACUGGACUGUAACUGACGUUGAGGCUCGAAAGCGUGGGGAGCAAACAGGAUUAGAAACCCCAGUAGUCC